RNAcentral lists this ribosomal RNA (148 nucleotides) under uncultured bacterium. Its description in RNAcentral is "partial 16S ribosomal RNA". It matches the Rfam family "Bacterial small subunit ribosomal RNA", at positions 1345 to 1500 of the family's 1533-position model. The record is from RNAcentral.
CGCAUCAGCCACGGCGCGGUGAAUACGUUCCCGGGCCUUGUACACACCGCCCGUCAAGCCAUGGAAGCCGGGGGUGCCUGAAGUGCGCUGCCGCAAGGAGCGCCCUAGGGUAAAACCGGUGACUGGGGCUAAGUCGUAACAAGGUAUC